RNAcentral lists this ribosomal RNA (497 nucleotides) under uncultured bacterium. RNAcentral's name for it is "partial 16S ribosomal RNA". It matches the Rfam family "Bacterial small subunit ribosomal RNA", at positions 27 to 507 of the family's 1533-position model. The record is from RNAcentral.
GGGGGGGGGGGGGGGGGGGGGGGGGGGGUGCGGGGCGGGCGAACGGGCGCGGGGCUUGCUCCUCGGACGUGAGGGUCGGAGGGGGGGGUACCACGUAGAUCACCUGCCGAUAAGGCUGGGAUACCUUCGGGACACCGGGGCGAAUACCGGAUCAUAUCUUGAACCGCAUGGUUCAAUAGUGCCAGACUGUUUUGCUGUCCCUUAUCGACGGAUCCGCGCCGCAUUAGCUAGUUGGUAAGGUAACGGCUUACCAAGGCAACGAUGCGUAGCCGACCUGAGAGGGUGAUCGGCCACACUGGAACUGAGACACGGUCCAGACUCCUACGGGAGGCAGCAGUAGGGAAUCUUCCGCAAUGGGCGAAAGCCUGACGGAGCAACGCCGCGUGAGUGAUGAAGGUCUUCGGAUCGUAAAACUCUGUUAUUAGGGAAGAACAAAUGUGUAAGUAACUAUGCACGUCUUGACGGUACCUAAUCAGAAAGCCAGGGCUAACUACGUG